GAUGAAGAACGUAGCGAAAUGCGAUAAGUAGUGUGUAUUGCAGAAUUCAGUGAAUCAUCGAAUCUUUGAACGCACAUUGCGCCCCUUGGUAUCCCGAGGGGCAUGCCUGUUCGAGCGUCAUUUCACCACUCAAGCCUGGCUUGGUGUUGGGCGACGUCCUCUUUGGGGACGCGCCUCGAAACGCUCGGCGGCGUGGCACCGGCUUUAAGCGUAGCAGAAUCUUUCGCUUUGGAAGUCGGGGCCCCGUCUGCCGGAAGACCUGCUCGCAAGGUUGACCUCGGAUCAGGCAGGGAUACCCGCUGAACUUAAGCAUAUCAAUAAGCGGAGGA
This 329-nucleotide unclassified non-coding RNA is filed under the name soil metagenome. RNAcentral describes it as "partial contains 5.8S ribosomal RNA, internal transcribed spacer 2, and large subunit ribosomal RNA". The stretch from base 1 to 120 matches the Rfam family "5.8S ribosomal RNA", at positions 35 to 154 of the family's 154-position model. The record is from RNAcentral.